Molecule: long non-coding RNA, 641 nt
Filed under: Amborella trichopoda
Lineage: Eukaryota; Viridiplantae; Streptophyta; Magnoliopsida; Amborellales; Amborellaceae
Description: long non-coding RNA (ATRI_LNC002022)
Source: RNAcentral
GAGAAUGGUUGCUUCUUUACGAAGGAACUUCUUGUGGCUCUCCUUCAUUGCUUUGGAAUAAUAUUGUCGGUGAUGUGUCGGUGAAGAGGAUAUACACGUGGCUGGAGUAGGAAAGCUCUGGGCAACUGAUGAUGAUUGAUAAGAGAUAUAGGGAAUAUUUUGGUUCGUGUGAGCAACACGUAUGAGUCUUCAACGAAGAGGGAAGGGACACGUCAGUAGCUGAUUUGACCCCAAAUUCGUCAUAUCAGUGAAUAGUGACGAAGGAAUCUUUACUAUGCAUUUGUCGCUUCUAUUUGAAAAGCAUCUUUGUACUAUUGUGCUGUCGAAUCGGUCGGAUGAAGGGAAUCUUUUCUUGUCAUUUUGCAGAGGUGUUUUGUCGUUUUUUGUGAGAGGAUAGAAGGGAAUCUUUUUGCAGAAGGAUUAGAUUUUAUCAAUCUGGGAAUGAGCUGUCGGGUCAUCGGGUCGGAGAUGAUUUGUCGAUUGGAUUAUUCUGUGGGCCUUUGGCUGAAAUCUUCCAGGAGGGGAUUUCCAGACUGGACUGUUUCUUCUGAGGUUGCUGGCCUGGUGGUAUCAGGAGCAAAGACAUGUAACAAUGUUUGUUCUAUUUCUUCAAUCGUGGCAUUGGGGUGUGACUGUUUCAG